ACGGGGCCCGGCACAAGCGGUGGAGCAUGCGGUUUAAUUCGAAGCAACGCGAAGAACCUUACCAGGCCUUGACAUGCAGAGAACUUUCCAGAGAUGGAUUGGUGCCUUCGGGAACUCUGACACAGGUGCUGCAUGGCUGUCGUCAGCUCGUGUCGUGAGAUGUUGGGUUAAGUCCCGUAACGAGCGCAACCCUUGUCCUUAGUUACCAGCACGUUAUGGUGGGCACUCUAAGGAGACUGCCGGUGACAAACCGGAGGAAGGUGGGGAUGACGUCAAGUCAUCGUGGCCCUUACGGCCUGGGCUACACACGUGCUACAAUGGUCGGUACAAAGGGUUGCCAAGCCGCGAGGUGGAGCUAAUCCCAUAAAACCGAUCGUAGUCCGGAUCGCAGUCUGCAACUCGACUGCGUGAAGUCGGAAUCGCUAGUAAUCGUGAAUCAGAAUGUCACGGUGAAUACGUUCCCGGGCCUU
This 470-nucleotide ribosomal RNA is filed under the name uncultured Pseudomonas sp. RNAcentral describes it as "bacterial SSU rRNA". It matches the Rfam family "Bacterial small subunit ribosomal RNA", at positions 916 to 1381 of the family's 1533-position model. Lineage: Bacteria; Pseudomonadati; Pseudomonadota; Gammaproteobacteria; Pseudomonadales; Pseudomonadaceae. The record is from RNAcentral.